This 424-nucleotide long non-coding RNA is filed under the name Rattus norvegicus (Norway rat). RNAcentral describes it as "long non-coding RNA NONRATT033865". The record is from RNAcentral. Lineage: Eukaryota; Metazoa; Chordata; Mammalia; Rodentia; Muridae.
CAAGGACAGUGAGUGUAUCCACUGAAGGACAUUAUCAGAGCAGCAGAGAGAGCCACAUAAAGGUUACCAGAGGAGGUGUCCAGCAUUUGUAAGCAGUCUAGGUUACUGGUCUCAGGGAGCUGAAAGAUCUUGUAAAGGGGAGUUUGACUGGAGUCAUCAGAGAGAAGAUCUCAGGAGUGUCAGGACUCAAGGUGAGGACUGAAGGGGUCCUGGCAUUUGUUCCCUCCCUGCCCUCCUGUCAGCUAUGAGAAAACCCAAGGGCCAUAGUUGCAUUCCUUCACCUCAUAUCCUCUUCCCUCUGUUUCACAGAAAUAGGCUCUUGGCUUAAAGAAACUACCCUUGGAUCAUCAGGACAAGCAGUUCAGUUCUUAUUUGUCAAGGUGAGUGUUGAGACCUCCAACAUCUCAGGACACAUGGAAUACAU